GUGGUCAUAGCUCAAUGGUAGAGUGCUUGCCUCACAUGCAUGAGAUCCUGGGUUCAAUCCUCAGCACCACA
Molecule: transfer RNA, 71 nt
Filed under: Ictidomys tridecemlineatus (thirteen-lined ground squirrel)
Lineage: Eukaryota; Metazoa; Chordata; Mammalia; Rodentia; Sciuridae
Description: Spermophilus tridecemlineatus (thirteen-lined ground squirrel) tRNA
Rfam family: tRNA
About the family: Transfer RNA (tRNA) molecules are approximately 80 nucleotides in length. Their secondary structure includes four short double-helical elements and three loops (D, anti-codon, and T loops). Further hydrogen bonds mediate the characteristic L-shaped molecular structure. tRNAs have two regions of fundamental functional importance: the anti-codon, which is responsible for specific mRNA codon recognition, and the 3' end, to which the tRNAs corresponding amino acid is attached (by aminoacyl-tRNA synthetases). tRNAs cope with the degeneracy of the genetic code in two manners: having more than one tRNA (with a specific anti-codon) for a particular amino acid; and 'wobble' base-pairing, i.e. permitting non-standard base-pairing at the 3rd anti-codon position.
Source: Rfam by way of RNAcentral